Molecule: small RNA, 274 nt
Filed under: Piliocolobus tephrosceles (Ugandan red Colobus)
Lineage: Eukaryota; Metazoa; Chordata; Mammalia; Primates; Cercopithecidae
Description: 7SK RNA (ENSPTEG00000038254.1)
Rfam family: 7SK RNA (bases 1-200)
About the family: 7SK was discovered as an abundant small nuclear RNA in the mid-70s but a possible function has only recently been suggested.
Source: RNAcentral
GGAUGUGAGGGUGAUCUGGCUGUGAUCGCCGCCUGGGUUGAUUCGGCCGAUCUGGCUGGCUAGGCAGGUGUCCCCUUGCUCCCUCACCGCUCCAUAGGCAUUGCUCCCACAGCUGCUAAGCGAGGGGACCACCUCUCAUAUUGUCUUCUGCCUAAUUUCUACCUCAAAGGAAAGAGAAAGUAGGAGUUAAAGAAAAGGCAGAAGUGAAAUUCAAUAGUCAGACAGUCUGGUGCCACACCCUAGGCCUGAUAGUUAAAGAUCGACCCUUGACCUA